RNAcentral lists this transfer RNA (67 nucleotides) under Marmota monax (woodchuck). RNAcentral's name for it is "tRNA.Glu". The stretch from base 5 to 64 matches the Rfam family "tRNA", at positions 6 to 65 of the family's 71-position model. Rfam says of the family: Transfer RNA (tRNA) molecules are approximately 80 nucleotides in length. The record is from RNAcentral. Lineage: Eukaryota; Metazoa; Chordata; Mammalia; Rodentia; Sciuridae.
GGAUUGUGGCUCAGUGAUAGAGCGCUCACCUCUCAUUUGAGAGACCUGGAUUCGAUCCUCAGCACCA